Molecule: ribosomal RNA, 459 nt
Filed under: uncultured bacterium
Lineage: Bacteria
Description: bacterial SSU rRNA
Rfam family: Bacterial small subunit ribosomal RNA
Source: RNAcentral
GGGGGAAUAUUGCACAAUGGGGGAAACCCUGAUGCAGCAACGCCGCGUGAGUGAUGAAGGCUUUCGGGUUGUAAAGCUCUGUCUUUGGGGACGAUAAUGACGGUACCCAAGGAGGAAGCCACGGCUAACUACGUGCCAGCAGCCGCGGUAAUACGUAGGUGGCAAGCGUUGUCCGGAUUUACUGGGCGUAAAGGGAGCGUAGGUGGAUGUUUAAGUGGGAUGUGAAAUACCUGGGUUUAACUUGGGUGGUGCAUUCCAAACUGGAUAUCUAGAGUGCAGGAGAGGAAAGUGGAAUUCCUAGUGUAGCGGUGAAAUGCGUAGAGAUUAGGAAGAACACCAGUGGAGAAGGCGACUUUGUGGACUGUAACUGACAGUGAGGCUAGAAAGCGUGGGGAGCAAACAGGAUUAGAUACCUGGUAGUCCACGCCGUAAACGAUGGAUACUAGGUGUGGGGGUUUC